AAGAUAUUAGUUAAUAUAUAACACUGCCUUGUCAAGACAGAAUUAUGGGUUAAAACCCCAUAUAUCUUG
Molecule: non-coding RNA, 69 nt
Organism: Erpetoichthys calabaricus (reedfish)
Lineage: Eukaryota; Metazoa; Chordata; Cladistia; Polypteriformes; Polypteridae
Source: the annotation of a RefSeq genome assembly